AACGUAGGGGGCCAGCGUUGCUCGGAAUUACUGGGCGUAAAGGGUCCGUAGGCGGUGUGGCAAGUCGGAAGUGAAAUCUCAGGGCUUAACCCUGCGGCUGCUUCUGAAACUGCCGUGCUAGAGUGCGAGAGAGGUCAGUGGAAUUGCAGGUGUAGCGGUGAAAUGCGUAGAUAUCUGCAGGAACACCCGUGGCGAAGGCGGCUGACUGGAUCGCAACUGACGCUGAGGAACGAAAGCUAGGGGAGCAAACAGG
Molecule: ribosomal RNA, 253 nt
Filed under: uncultured bacterium
Lineage: Bacteria
Description: partial 16S ribosomal RNA
Rfam family: Bacterial small subunit ribosomal RNA
Source: RNAcentral